GACGAACGCUGGCGGCGUGCUUAACACAUGCAAGUCGAACGGAAAGGCCCCUUUGGGGGUCCUCGAGUGGCGAACGGGUGAGUAACACGUGAGUAACCUGCCCUUGACUUCGGGAUAACUUCAGGAAACUGGGGCUAAUACCGGAUAGGAAUCCUUGCUGCAUGGAGGGGGUUGGAAAGCUUCGGCGGUUUUGGAUGGACUCGCGGCUUAUCAGCUUGUUGGUGGGGUAGUGGCUUACCAAGGCUUUGACGGGUAGCCGGCCUGAGAGGGCGACCGGCCACAUUGGGACUGGGAUACGGCCCAGACUCCUACGGGAGGCAGCAGUGGGGAAUAUUGCACAAGGGGCGGAAGCCUGAUGCAGCAACGCCGCGUGCGGGAUGACGGCCUUCGGGUUGUAAACCGCUUUCAGCAGGGGCGAAGCUUGUGGUGACGGUACCUGCAGAAGAAGCACCGGCUAACUACGUG
Molecule: ribosomal RNA, 465 nt
Filed under: uncultured bacterium
Lineage: Bacteria
Description: partial 16S ribosomal RNA
Rfam family: Bacterial small subunit ribosomal RNA
Source: RNAcentral